CACACACACACACACACACACACGUUUCCAUAGAGAGAGGUUCCACUUUGCAUUAGCAGCUCAUGCUUCAGCGCUCUGCGAGUGUUUAUAGCCCUGUGACUUUAACACUUCAUGACUGAGAGCUGCUGCUCAGCGACUUCACCCACAGCAACCAUGAGUUUGAUCAGCGUCUUCAUCUGCACACUGGCCCUCUGCGCUCGAGGAUCCAGAGGUCAGGUGACUGUGACUCAGAGUCCUGCAGUGAAACCUGUUUCUCCAGGAGAGACACUCACCAUCAGCUGUAAAACCAGCUCUGCUGUUCACCGCUGGAGUGAUGGAGAUGAAGGAAUAUUCUGGUAUCAGCAGAAAGCUGGAGAAGCUCCUAAACUCCUGAUAAAAUAUGUGAAGAAGUUAGAGUCAGGUAUUCCAGCUCGUUUCAGUGGCAGUGGAUCUGGAUCUGAUUUCACUCUGACCAUCAGUGGAGUCCAGACUGAAGAUGCUGGAGAUUAUUACUGUCAGAGUUAUCAUUCUAUUAGUGGUAGCGAUGUGAUCACACAGUGUUAGAGCGUCGUACAAAAACCUGUGUGAGUGUGACUGCUGCAGCUGGGACCUACUGCAGGUGCUGAGGGGGACGAUGUGAUACAGCACAAUCACACACACACACACACACACACACACACACACACAAUCACACACACAAUCACACACACACACACACACCACAAUCACACACACAAUCACACACACUCACACACACACACACACACACAAUCACACACACACACACACACACACACACACACACACACACACACACACACACAAUCACACACACACACACACACACACACACACACACACACACACACACAAUCACACACACACACACACACACACACACACACACAAUCACACACACACACACACACACACACACACACACACACACACACACACACUCGCACGUCCACUGCAGGAUAAAUUUGAUGAAGGUGAAUUUAGAGUAAGUUUAUAUUAUUGAGCUGGCUUUGCUGAAUCAUACAGCUGUGUAUCAUCAGCCUAGCAGUGGAAGCUAACAGCAUGUUAAUGGAUCAUUUUACCCAGAGGUAGCAUGUACAGGGAAAAGCAGUGGGUGUAGAACAGAGCUGUCUCGUACUGUGAUGAGGCCUAAAUACUGACUGAGACAUUUCAUGUAUGUGGUUCCUAGUUUAUCUGCUGAACUACAAAGAGUUUAGUUGUGAAUGGAGCUACAUUAUCUAGCACGCAGUGGAACGUUAACUCUAAACAUUCAGUCACUUGAUGGAGUUUUCUUUUAUCAGAUGAACUCAAUGAAGAUUUUCUAGAAAAAUAAUCCAUCUCUGUGAGAUCAUAUAAUGCAGGUGGAUUUUGUCCACAAACUGAACACAGUGACAAUCCAUACGACUCCAGCUGAUGAAUCAUUGUCUUCUGAAUCAAAGCAAUAAUUCUGUGUAAGAAAAAAUACUAAUAUUUGACACUUUUUUAACUAUAAUCCAUCACUUCUGGCCAACUGUCCUACGCAGGGUUCAUGGGAGCAUCGCCCUACAUCAGCAUGUUGUGAAGCUCGUCCAAGAAGUGACGCUCCUCUGUGCUUCCAUCUCACUUCUCAUGUGAGCUUCACAAUGUUCUUACUGUCGUGACUGCUGUGUGCGCUUUUUUAAGCUUCAACUAUUCAGACAAUAUACAAUUGCAUCGUAUCCACCUGAGACCCCGCCCAUUGACUUGUGUCCUCUGUAGAGGACAUUUUGUUUUCAUGUAGGACCUUUUGACUUUUUUGAGCUACUCUAGUAACUCCUGCUGUACUAUACAGAGGACAUUCUGGGCUUUCUAGUGAUGUGUCAUGUUACAGUCUGUGACGCGAGGAUCAACUUCUUACACUACA
Ictalurus punctatus (channel catfish) is the source of this 1879-nucleotide non-coding RNA. The record is from the annotation of a RefSeq genome assembly. NCBI's taxonomy places the organism in Eukaryota, Metazoa, Chordata, Actinopteri, Siluriformes, Ictaluridae.